Molecule: non-coding RNA, 72 nt
Organism: Achaetomium macrosporum
Lineage: Eukaryota; Fungi; Ascomycota; Sordariomycetes; Sordariales; Chaetomiaceae
Source: the annotation of a GenBank genome assembly
ACCCUGCUAGCUCAAUGGUCGAGCAUGUGACUUCUAAUCACAAGGUUGUGGGUUCGAGUCCCACGUAGGGUU